RNAcentral lists this transfer RNA (74 nucleotides) under Pteropus alecto (black flying fox). It matches the Rfam family "tRNA". Rfam says of the family: Transfer RNA (tRNA) molecules are approximately 80 nucleotides in length. Their secondary structure includes four short double-helical elements and three loops (D, anti-codon, and T loops). The record is from Rfam by way of RNAcentral. RNAcentral also lists the same sequence under 1 other name. Lineage: Eukaryota; Metazoa; Chordata; Mammalia; Chiroptera; Pteropodidae.
GGCCCCAUAGUGUAGUGGUUAGCACGUCUGCUUUACACGCAGAAGGUCCUGGGUUUGCGCCCCAGGUGGAGCCA